Molecule: long non-coding RNA, 2500 nt
Organism: Setaria italica (foxtail millet)
Lineage: Eukaryota; Viridiplantae; Streptophyta; Magnoliopsida; Poales; Poaceae
Exons: 3
Source: RefSeq, a predicted model, not a curated record
AAGAAUCAGGCUAAGGGUCGAUCUGUAAUUUGCAUCACUUUUCCUUAAAACCCAGAGAAAUUUUUUUUUAUGAUGCACACAUGACACACAACCCCGAGCCUUUUACCAACUAGUUUGGCAACCUCUGGUCAACGUGACUAUCUCUGAAAGGAAAUCUCAUCUCUUCUGAGAAUAGAGGUAACGACUAAUCAGGUGCCGUGAAAUCUGCGGAUCUGUUAAACCUGAAUAUUCCUUUAUUCACGUCGUUGUUACUGUGCCACGGUGAUAAAUAGCGGAGGAAGUUAUCCCUUUUCGUUUCACCUUUGCCAUUUGCUUUUCCGACCUCCAUACUGUAGCCCUAGUGCUGCUGCUGCCCAAUCUCCGAGCGCUAGCGCCGCCGCCCCCCACCACUGAGGCCCCGAGCGUAUGCGACAGAAGAAGCUCGUGACAUUAAGGAUGGUGAGGAAGGCUGAUGCAUCCAAAGAAGUCGAGGGUGAGAAGAAGAAGAGGUCCGACAAGAAGGAGCCACAAUUGCCGGCACCCAAGUACGGGAAGACGGAUUAGACUGCGCCGCCAACUCCUAGUUGCGCUUGGAAGCGGUCAUUCUUAAAAGAGGAGGAGAUUAAGGUGUCUGUGGCCGCCAAGCUGCUCCAAGAUCAAGACUUCAUCAAUUGGAGAUCCUCCUACGGCAAUCCGUGACCAUUGGAGGAAUACCUGAUGAAACAGUAAUUUUCGCUCACUUCAUCGAGCGCGGUCUUGCACUUACAGACUUCUGAUUUUUCCGGGGUCUUCUGGAUUAUUAUAAGUUGGAGCUGGUUCCUCUGAACCCCAAUGGAAUCCUCCAUACUGCUAUUUUUGUGCACUUCUGCGAAGCUUUUCUGGGAAUCCGCCCCAACUUUCAGUUAUUCCGAAAAUUUUUCUAUGUAAAGCCGCAACCGAUGAGGGAUCAUACUCAAGUAGUCAGAGGUGCCGGUAUCCAGAUGCGGGAGAAACUCAGUAGCCUGUAUCUAGAGUAUGAAUUGAUAGACUUCAAUGCCGAGUGGAAGGAGAAGUAGUGCUACAUUGGCAACCACGAUCCCAAACUACCCAAACUGACAAGGCAUCGUCCCACCUGGAACAACCGGUGGCUGGAUGAGCCAACUCAUGGGGAUUGCCUCCAACUACCCGAACUCCUUGAUAGAAUAGCCAAGCUAAAGCAAGAAGGUCUCACUGGAGUUGGAGUAGCCUUCAGCUUUAUGAAGCGAAGAAUCCAGCCCUUACAAUAGAGAUGCCACUGGGGCUAUGAGUAUACUGGAGUCAAUGAUCCAUCCAGACUUUCACCUGAUGAGCUCAAUAUAGAUGAGAUUAUGGUGAGCUUGAAGCGGAUGUUCAAAAAUGUGGGCGAGAUCCCCACCAUUGUGCGGGAAUUCAACGCUGCCAACCCGCCAAAGCCUGAAGAUGUCAGCUUGUACUUCUCUGCUUCUCCUCCUCCCGGAUCGGAAGAUAUUUGUGAAGCUGCUCCUCGCGUGCAUAUGGCGGAGAGCACUGAGAGUGAUGACGAGGAAGAGGAAGUACUCGAGACCUUCAGCAGCACCAGUUCGGAUGCUGCGGAGAAUUUUGAAGUCAAGGCCCAGCCAUUUGCUAAGGUCGGGUCAUCCUCUGAAUCGAAGAAGCGCACAGCUGAUGAGGAGCUCGAAGCUGCAAUUCCUCCGCCACCAAAGAAGAAGCGGUCCAUUGUUGCGAAAUGGGUCGUGAAGAAAUCCGUCACCGCAGAAGAUGUGCCUCCCGCGUCCGGUAGGCGAUUCCAAUAUCACCACUGUGUCUACUCAAGAUGACAUUGAUGGUUUGCAGAUACUAGAGCCGGUGAUGGAUGCUGAAAAGGCGGCUGCUCUCGCUGUGCAAGACAGGUUGCCAGUCAUUGAGGAGGUGAUCAAUAUUGAAGAUGAUCCGGAGCCUCAUGUUGCUGUGAUGGACCCUGCCGGCGCAAGAACAACUCGAAGAGCAGAGGCGGCGGCUAAGGCUGGCGAUGAUCAUGCUGCGACAUUCAAGCCGUGCCAAAGAGACUGUUUCCGACCAUUAAGCCGCUGCGCUUUACAGGAGAACUCUCUUUGUAGUUGAGGAGAUCUAUAAGGAAAUCCUCUAAUAUGAACCUUGGAGAGCCUAGUUUGAGGCCCGUGACAGAGUACAUUUCCUAAUCUUUGACUAGUUCCUGUCUUUCUACGUAGACUACGCCGUCCUGCGCCAUAGUCUACAUGUCAGAUAUGUUUCGGUGUCCAGCCUCAUAUUUAGAAUUGUUCAAACCUUCUGGUAGGUCCAUAGAUGCUAUAUUUUUACGUUCAAUAUUCUUCUUGAUGAGCAAAAUAACUUGACCGUUCCUUUGUGAAACGUGCCAAGUGAGUUGUGAGCCCUGUAUUGCAAAGCGCUGUCUGUUGCUGGAAUAUGGACCGUUCCUUUGUGAAAAGGGAUUGCAUUAUAUGGUGAUUGGUAAUGGCUAAUGGAUAUGUUGUGUACAGUACAGGACAACCUCCCAUGUUUGAUAUAC